This 311-nucleotide ribosomal RNA is filed under the name uncultured bacterium. RNAcentral describes it as "bacterial SSU rRNA". It matches the Rfam family "Bacterial small subunit ribosomal RNA", at positions 29 to 365 of the family's 1533-position model. The record is from RNAcentral.
AACGAACGCUGGCGGCAGGCCUAACACAUGCAAGUCGAGCGAUACCAGCAAUGGUGGAGCGGCAGACGGGUGAGUAACACGUGGGAACGUACCCUUCGGUUCGGAAUAACUCAGGGAAACUUGAGCUAAUACCGGAUACGUCCGAGAGGAGAAAGAUUUAUCGCCGAAGGAUCGGCCCGCGUCUGAUUAGCUAGUUGGUGAGGUAAUGGCUCACCAAAGCGACGAUCAGUAGCNGGUCUGAGAGGAUGAUCAGCCACAUUGGGACUGAGACACGGCCCAAACUCCUACGGGAGGCAGCAGUAAGGAAUAUU